Molecule: ribosomal RNA, 238 nt
Filed under: uncultured bacterium
Lineage: Bacteria
Description: partial 16S ribosomal RNA
Rfam family: Bacterial small subunit ribosomal RNA
Source: RNAcentral
AGGUGAAGGGCGCGGCGAACGGCUGAGUACCACGUUGGAACCUACCCCGAACUCAGGGAUAACCCAUCGAAAGAUGGGCUAAUACCGGAUAGUCCCGAAAGGGUAAAGAUUUUUCGGUUCGGGAGGGGCCUGCGUCCUAUCAGUUUGUUGGUGGGGUAAAAGCCUACCAAGACUAUGACGGGUAGCUGGUCUGAGAGGACGACCAGCCAGAAUGGGACUGAGACACGGCCCAUACUCC